UCCAUCUGCUUGGCUCAUGGUCAUGUGCUGUCGUCGUUCCUUUCGUUCUUCCUACAGUACAAAGCUGACUCAGUUUUGCACCAUAGAGAAAUCCAAAACGGAGCCAUCCAUCAAUCAAAUAAAAAAACGUCAGAGUCAGAGAUCUAAUGAUUUUGGCACGUGAUCCAAUCCUUUCAAUUUACAGUUACUGAAAAAGACGCCAUUUUCCCAUCUCAACGGUACUGUAUCAUCACUCUCACUUCAGACAAAUACACCAUAUCUGCAUUUCGCAUUCUACUCUGAAAUUCCACCACGAGUUCAAGCAUCACUGAAAUUCUCAGAAUGGAGCUACUCCAUUGCCCUUCAGCAAUCCCAGUUCGCAAUUGCACCCCAAAAUUCACGAACGCCUCGAAGAAUUGCGCGAAUUUGUUCGGAAAGAGAUUAAAUUCGGUGAAUUUGGGUAGUAUUUUGGUGAAAAUUUUGGACAAAAAUGCGGGAAGGUGUUCUUCAGGGGUUGUGGUUAAUGCGAGGAGUGGUGAUGGCGGUGGUUUAGAGACUGGAGCGGAUACUGCCAUUGUGGUGGAGAAACCUCCGGCAAAACCGAGUCUUUUUGAGGUGUUUGAUGGCUAUCCGUUGCCGUUUGGUGCCACUUCUCGGGAUGGUGGUGUGAAUUUUGCGGUUGCUUCUGGCAGUGCCACGUCAGCUACUCUUUGCUUGAUUCGUCUCUCUGAUCUGCCUGAAAAAAGAGUUACUGAGCAAAUCUUUUUGAGUCCGAUAACGAAUAGGACUGGAGAUGUCUGGCAUGUGUUCUUGAAGGGAGAUUUUCAAGACAUGCUCUAUGGUUACAGAUUUGAUGGGAAAUUUUCUCCUCAAGAAGGACAUUACUUUGAUUCUUCUCAAAUAUUAGUGGAUCCAUAUGCUAAGGCUGUUGUAAGUAGAGGGGACUAUGGUGCUCUUGGACUUGAGGAUGAAUGUUGGCCACCAAUGGCCUGCAUGGUGCCUUCUCUUACUGACAAGUUUGAUUGGGAAGGUGAUUUACCCCUGAAGUUUCCUCAGAGAGAUCUGGUAAUAUAUGAAAUGCAUGUUCGUGGAUUUACAAGGCAUGAGUCAAGUGGAACAGAAUUUCCUGGUACUUACCUCGGUGUCAUUGGAAAACUAGAUUACUUGAAGGAAUCUGUGGUUCUCUCCUUUCAUGAUUGUGGAUGAGCUAGAUAUGUUGCCAUGUUCAGUCCAGUGUGAAACAGCAUCUGGUGGAAUCUAGGUUGGGUGGUUCUGGAUGUGAAUGGGGUAGACAGGAACUUGGUAUCAAUUGUAUAGAGUUAAUGCCAUGUCAUGAGUUCAAUGAGUUGGAGUAUUACAGCCAUAAUUCCAUCUUAGGCGACUAUAAGAUGAACUUCUGGGGGUACUCAACUGUCAAUUUCUUUUCACCGAUGACAAGAUAUUCUUCGGCUGGUGCCCUUAAUUGUGGUCUUGGUGCCAUAGAUGAAUUCAAGUGCCUUGUUAAAGAAGCGCAUAAACGUGGGAUUGAGGUGACAACUUAAUUUACUUAGUGUGAUAUUGCAUUUUUUUUUUAUUGAUUUUUAGCUGCUUUUUCUCUUACUUUAGUUUAACAGGUGAUCAUGGAUGUCGUUUUUAACCACAGUGCUGAAGGGAAUGAGAAUGGUCCCAUAUUAUCCUUUAGAGGUGUAGAUAACAGUGUCUUUUAUAUGCUUGCACCAAAGGGAGAGUUCUAUAAUUAUUCAGGUUGUGGAAACACUUUCAACUGCAACCAUCCCCUUGUCCGUCAAUUUAUAUUGGAUUGCCUGAGGUAAUAUUACUAUGCAUUGUACCUUAUUUGUCUAUAUUUGCAAAUUAGUUAAUUUGUUCUUUGUGCAAUGAGAUUACGGGUAUUGCAAUGAAUCUUCCUCUACAGUUGAUUCAACAAGUCGCUACCUGCAUGUCUGUUUGGGUAUCAAUAGUUUUGUGUGUGUUUGGUCACGAGUGAGACACCAUCCUCGAGCAUAAACAUGUGGUCUAAGAUUUUGCCCUAUGUGCACUAAAUUAAAAUUGAAUAUUGAGAUUGAAACUGAGGGCAGCAAAAGAGUAGUGACAGUUUUGUAAAACCAUCUUUGUCUUGCAUAACAAAGAAAGACAACAGAAAUUUUGGACUCGCAUAAGCACUAGCUUUUAUCAUAUCUACAUUGUGAUGGCAGCAUAAGGCCUGGAGAAGCUGAAGAUUGUACCUUGGCAUGUCAAUUGCAGGGUUUGGCUAGAAGUACUAAACUCAGGCCUUGUUUGAUAACCCAGUUUAGUACUUAAAUUUAAUGGAUUCAGAUCUUAACAUAUUCAGACCGUUUGAUAAUCAAAAAUUAAACAUCUUAAUUAAUUAAGUGGCACUGAAUUUCCUAGGCAAAACUUGCUCCCGAAAUUAAGUGAAACUAUUCACUUAUCACUGAAUGUGAUAUGCACUCAAAUGUAUUAGAUUUAAUAUUUAACAAUUCAAUAACUUAAUCGAUUCAGAUUUCAGACUUCAGUUUUAUCAAACACACCCUCAGAUUUGGAGCCAUAAAAUUUACUUUGACCCAAUUCAAGACUGUGAUUUCAGACUUGUAGGGCUCUAGAUACCUACUGUGUAUCCACAAGUGUCAAUAAUAUUGUCUUAGUAAAUUAUAAGAACUUCAAAAUUGUUUGAACAUAGAUGAGAACCAUGAAAAUAUAAGCUUUGUUUCUAUGUAAAUCUAAUAGAAGCAAUGCCUUUGAAUAACAGAACCAUUCUGUGUUCAAGGAUUAUUCAAAAGCAUAAUUGUGAUCUUGUGUUUUGUAUAUCUUAUGGAAAUUAUUCUACUGGAAGUCAUGUAAAGAAAACAAAAAUAAGGAUGUUUUAGUGUUCUCAAAAACCACUUUUAAUAGAUAAUAUUUGUUGAACAAUGUAAUAUACUAGAUGAAAUUGCAUUAAAGGAUGUUUCUUCUUUUUAUUAGUUGUCAUGUACAGAUACAUCGACGACAACAUGCACACACAUGAAUUAAAUGGUUUUGGCUUUUCAUAUGUGUUGGGUUCGGGCCUCGUAGUAUGGAGUUGGUAUGCUGAUGCCUAAUUCUCGUUUGGGCUUCAUGUCAAAGCAGGAUAAAAGUAUCUUGGAUCCGAAUAACAAUUGAUCCAGGAGAUGCCUAAGUGUUGAUUUCCUCGAUUUUGUAGCUAGUAGUGGAUAUUUGGGUUUAAUGGUAUCUUGUGUUUUUUUUCUUUUGUUACUUGGAACUAAAUGAGAUUUGUUGUACCUGUUUGGGAUAAAAGUGGCAAUAAAGACUUUUAGUAUGAGAUUGAUCUGUCUUUCCAUCUGAUUUCCUGUUUGAUUAUCUCAGACUGUUUGUAAACCCAUUGAAAAUAUCCAGCAGGAAGGUGGUUCUUCAGAUUUUCUUGAAUUUUAUUACGUUUCUGCCAAAUCCAUCGCAGUUUGCUGAACCAAUGGCUAGCAAAUUUAUUUAGAACAAUAAUUCAAAGGGCUUAUAAGGCUGGUCAGUCUUUUGUCACUGGUCAAGUGUGCUAUUGGUAGCUUUGCUUACUGCUAACUACAGGUGCGGGGUUUAACACUGCUGUCUCCUUUCCUUAUGUAUCAGAAGGCUGCUUGGCCUAUAACCUUAGGGAUCAGCCAUCACCAACUCAUACAUUCAUAGACAUAGAAGCAUGGAACUCCUAUCAGAUUAGAUGGGGCACUUGCCUCUUGUAAGAUUUUAGACAUGAUACUACAUGUUUGUACAAUGUAGUUAGAUGCUGUAUCCUGUUAAAUCAUCAAUGGAAUUAUAUUCUGCAACAAUUUAUGAUUUUAGUGCUGAAGUUAAACAUGAAUAUAAAGCUUGUUUAUCAGUUGUUUGUGCUCUUUCAUCCUUAAUAUUCAUUUGGAUCCUGCUGUUUGCUUUUUCAUUUUUGGAUGCUCAUUACCUUGACUUUUUUCUGCCUUAAAUUUAUGUAAUUAACUCUUGCCAAGGCUUGUUUUCAGCUAAAUGAAGAAACAAAUCUGGCUUGAGCAACCACCCCACAGUUGGAAAACAUAUCCAAGAAAUUAUGUAACCUAUGUUUUUAGAUCAAAUUUUCCCUUUUACUUGGAGAAGAAAUUGCUAAUGUUUUGUAGAUCUCCUACUUAGAAGUACUCCCUUUAUUUUUUUUCCCUGGCUAGUGUUGGGGAGGUUAGAAUUAGCUUCAUUGUGGAACACGUGCUUUCUCUCUCUCUCUCUCUCUCCUUUUUUUUUUGCAUGUCGUCUGUUGUACCAGUAUACUCCCAUGAUUAUUCUAUCUUUAUCUUUUUCAAAAUUCUGAUAUUUCAACAGAUACUGGGUAACAGAGAUGCAUGUAGAUGGCUUUCGCUUUGAUCUUGCUUCUAUCCUGACAAGAAGCAGCAGCCUCUGGGAUGCAGCUAAUGUGUAUGGAAAGUCAGUUGAAGGUGAUACUCUCACAACUGGUUCUCCUCUCAGCAGCCCUCCGUUGAUUGAUAUGAUUAGUAACGAUCCAAUACUACGUGGAGCAAAGCUUAUAGCUGAAGCAUGGGAUUGUGGAGGACUCUACCAAGUUGGCAAGUUUCCUCAUUGGGGUAUUUGGUCAGAGUGGAAUGGGAAGUACCGUGACACUGUGAGGCAGUUCAUAAAGGGUACAGGUGGGUUUGCAGGAGCUUUUGCUGAAUGUCUUUGUGGGAGCCCUAACUUAUACCAGGAAGGUGGAAGGAAACCAUGGAACAGUAUUAAUUUUGUAUGUGCUCAUGAUGGCUUUACUUUGGCUGAUUUAGUGACAUAUAAUAACAAACACAACACAGCAAAUGGAGAAGAUAAUAAAGAUGGGGAGAAUCACAAUAACAGUUGGAACUGUGGUCAGGAAGGAGAGUUUGCUAGUAUCUCUGUAAAGAAACUGAGGAAACGGCAGAUGCGGAACUUCUUCCUCUGUCUUAUGGUUUCCCAAGUAAGAAAGUUUAUCAUGACCCUCUUGACCAAUAUUGUAUUAUCUUAUUAUAUAUGGAGGGAGAGAGCUUGCAUUGGUGUAAACAAUUUAUAUCACUUUAUGUUAUACCAAAAAUAUGCUUUAAAGUUAGUUUUCAAACUAUCCACAUCCCCCUCUUUUUUCUCCACCAUGAUUUUAAAUACAAUAACUUCCUCCAAAGAAAAAGUAGUAAUUAUAAAUUUUUCAUAUACACAUGUACAUGUCUUACCAUGAUAUGUAAUAACAUAAUGUGGAAAAACUACAAUCAUACAUAUUUUGAAAAAAGCAACCAAAAGCACUAGUUCAAGUUAAAAUGGCUUGGCUGUUUACUGGAUAUCUGAGUUCUUUGAUUUCCUCCUGUAUCAGCAAUUGGCCAACAAUCAGCCUGUCCUAACGUAAGAUAUGUAGAUAUAGCUGCAUUUAGUUUAAGCACUUGUCUUUCCAGCCUGUUAUCCAGUUUUGUGCUGGGCUUGCACGUUGCUUGUGUCCUUGGGACCAUCUUUUGGUUAUCUCUGGCAAUUUUUUAAUGCAACUAUGAUUCACUUUUCUGUUUGUCAACCAGGGUGUUCCAAUGAUCUAUAUGGGUGAUGAGUAUGGUCACACUAAAGGAGGAAACAACAACACAUAUUGCCAUGACAAUUAUGUAUAGUGAUUUUCUGAUAUAGAAACUUUUAUUCUGUUAACCUUUUGAUCUUUAUGGACCAACUGUGGCUGUUGCUGUAGAUUAAUUACUUCCGGUGGGAUAAAAAAGAAGAAUCCUCAUCUGACUUUUUCAGAUUUUGCUGCCUUGUAACCAAGUUUCGCCAUGAAUGUGAGUCACUUGGCUUGAACAAUUUCCCAACAGCAGAGCGGCUGCAGUGGCAUGGUCAUGCUCCUGGAUUACCAGACUGGUCAGAAACAAGCCGAUUCGUUGCUUUUACACUGACUGAUUCAGUAAAGGGAGAACUUUAUGUUGCCUUCAAUGCUAGCCAUUUACCCGUCACCAUUGCAUUGCCAGAACGGCCGGGUUAUAGGUGGGAACCCUUGGUGGACGCUGCCAAGCCUGCACCAUUUGACUUUCUCUCCAAUGAUCUUCCAGAGAGAGAAACUGCGAUUCAACAGUAUGCUCAUUUUCUUGAUUCCAAUCUGUACCCCAUGCUUAGUUAUUCUUCAGUUAUUCUGUUACUAUCUUCUGAUGAUAGUGCUUGAGUCACUCUAAGCUCCUACCUUAAAUAGCAACAUUGGUAAGUCCUGAGAUGCAGUUCCAGGCCCUCAAAAUGGGUACAUGUAUAUGGAGAGAGAGUAGUGCUGCAGCUGGAAAAGAAAUUAGGUACGUCCAAGUAAGUGGUGUCCGUGUAUAAUGUUCAGGUGUCCAUGAAUCUUUAUAGCUAAUGGAUAGAUGAUGUAGCCAGUGCAGAACUCGUUAAUAAUUUGACAUAUAGAUGAAUGAGAUCGUGACCUGCACAAUUCGUUUGCAGCACUGGCAGAAAAUAAAUUGGGGAAAGCAUUCAGAUGGAUGUAAAAAUCGAAUGGAUUGAGACUGAUAUGUUCCAUUUUUUCCCCUAUGGAUGGAAUCUGUUUGGAAAUUGAAGAAAACAGUUCUUUA
Coffea arabica (coffee) is the source of this 6506-nucleotide non-coding RNA. NCBI's taxonomy places the organism in Eukaryota, Viridiplantae, Streptophyta, Magnoliopsida, Gentianales, Rubiaceae. The record is from RefSeq and is a predicted model, not a curated record.